Molecule: ribosomal RNA, 253 nt
Filed under: uncultured bacterium
Lineage: Bacteria
Description: partial 16S ribosomal RNA
Rfam family: Bacterial small subunit ribosomal RNA
Source: RNAcentral
UACGUAGGGUGCAAGCGUUGUCCGGAAUUAUUGGGCGUAAAGAGCUCGUAGGCGGUCUGUUGCGUCGGCUGUGAAAACCCGGGGCUCAACUCCGGGCCUGCAGCCGAUACGGGCAGACUAGAGUUCGGCAGGGGAGACUGGAAUUCCUGGUGUAGCGGUGAAAUGCGCAGAUAUUAGGAGGAACACCGGUGGCGAAGGCGGCGCUCUGGGCCGGUACUGACACUGAGGAGCGAAAGCGUGGGUAGCAAACAGG